UUUUAAAAAUUUCAUCUAUUUGUACUGUUAAGAACUGUUGUGCAUGAUGGAAUAACCAAACAGUGAUAUGCGGUGUGCCAAAUGUAUGUCAUGCUGAAGUACACAAACCAAAUUUUAACUGUAUAAAUGGAUGGAAUUUUUAACA
Gossypium arboreum is the source of this 145-nucleotide non-coding RNA. The record is from Rfam. Lineage: Eukaryota; Viridiplantae; Streptophyta; Magnoliopsida; Malvales; Malvaceae.